AGUGAACGCUGGCGGUAGGCCUAACACAUGCAAGUCGAACGGCAGCACAGUAAGAGCUUGCUCUUACGGGUGGCGAGUGGCGGACGGGUGAGGAAUACAUCGGAAUCUACUUUUUCGUGGGGGAUAACGUAGGGAAACUUACGCUAAUACCGCAUACGACCUACGGGUGAAAGCAGGGGAUCUUCGGACCUUGCGCGAUUGAAUGAGCCGAUGUCGGAUUAGCUAGUUGGCGGGGUAAAGGCCCACCAAGGCGACGAUCCGAAGCUGGUCUGAGAGGAUGAUCAGCCACACUGGAACUGAGACACGGUCCAGACUACUACGGGAGGCAGCAGUGGGGAAUAUUGGACAAUGGGCGCAAGCCUGAUCCAGCCAUACCGAGUGGGUGAAGAAGGCCUUCGGGUUGUAAAGCCCUUUUGUUGGGAAAGAAAAGCAGCAGGUUAAUACCCCGCUGUUCUGACGGUACCCAAAGAAUAAGCACCGGCUAACUUCGUG
RNAcentral lists this ribosomal RNA (492 nucleotides) under uncultured bacterium. Its description in RNAcentral is "partial 16S ribosomal RNA". It matches the Rfam family "Bacterial small subunit ribosomal RNA", at positions 29 to 507 of the family's 1533-position model. The record is from RNAcentral.